GGAAACGCUCAAUUUUUCUCACGUUAUGCUCAAGGGAACAGUGCCUUCACUCCUUCUAUAUAAACCCUAGCAAAGGAUAUCUUUCAUCUAUGUAGAAAACUUAAGCAAGAAUUAACAAUGGCAGAUCAAGAACAGCCAAAGUGGGAAGGAAAGACUUCUGCACAGCUAGCAGGCCUCAAGGCAGAACAAGUGUGGCCUCUUUUAGAAGACUUCUUUGGCCUAAACAAGUGGUUCCCAACUCUCACCACUUGCCUUCCUGUGGAGGGCAUCUCUGGCCAACCUGGGUGCUUGCGUUACUGUGCUGGUUUUAAAACACCGGUUGAUAACAUUAAUGGCGAGGUCAUGAACUGGACCAAGCAGAAACUAUUGUCCAUUGACCCAAGAGAAAUGGUGUUUAGCUAUUCCAUUAUAGAUGGGAAUGUUGGGUUCCACGGAUAUGUGUCGACUGUUAAAGUGAUAGCAAAAGAAGAUGGCUGCGAGAUUGAGUGGAAAUAUGAAGUUGAGCCUGUACAAGGCUGGACACUGGAGCACUUGGAUUCUUUUAUCGGCUCAGGUUUACAAGUUAUGGCCAAGAGAAUGGCGGAAGCUCUCCAAGCUUGAGUCCAUUGUCCACACGUAUCUGUUCUUAUAUUUACAGUGAAUGUUUGUGCUUUCAGUUCAUAAUACCACCUGAAAGUACUGUACAUCAAUUGAAAUAAACCCAAUUAUGCUUUUCAUUUUGUUGUCAAUUGGUGCUUUUCUCUAUAUCUAGAUGCUGUCCAAUCACGGAUUGUCUAAUGCUUUUUUGUGAGUCCAUAAACCUGUAAUUUAACCCUAAAAGAUUUCCCACAAUCUUUGAUUAAAGAAUAUGUAAGGGGAGAUCAUUUAAUCAGAUAUUUAGUAUUACUCCCUUUUAUGAACAGAUACUAAAAGAUUUGGCAAAGUAAUAAAAAGCUUUCUAAUGAUAAAACUAAUAAAUUAUAUGGAGAGACAGAGAGAUUCUCAAUUCUGUUCCUGAAAUAUGACUUUCAUAUGAAGAAAUAAAUUGAACGGGAGAUUCAACUCCCUGUAACUGUGGAAAAAGCUGUAUAUGUUCCUGCUUCUGAGUCCUGAUUUUGUUUUUCUUAAGCAUGGCUGUUCAAGUAGAAAAAAAGAUGGGAAGGCACAGUUAGUGCCAAACUACAUGAUUGUGAUUUUGAUCAAAUGAUUGCAAGGUUGAGCAAAGUUCCAACCAAAUUUCAGGAGUUAACCCAUUCAACAAGGAAGACCGAAACAUCAAAAGUAAUAAACCAAACAUGAACUGCUCUUGGACACUGAAAAAAAGAGAUGAGCAAUUCUCUCAAGUUCACCACAGAAGUUGUACCAUUGGCGCCUGCUAUGCGUCCUGUAGGAUCAUUUCCUCCAUUGAGCAAAGGAAGAGAGCCGAGGGAACGCCGUCCAUCAAUGACCAUACAACAACCUCAGUAUCCUGUGCACUUAUGUCAUAAAAUCUCCAAUACGCAUUUGCGAAAGUGAAAACCUAAAACAUUAACAAUUUGAAAUGAUUUACUGUAUGAGGAUUUUUUUUUUCAAACAGAAGCAUCCUCGUAUACAAGACUUAUGCAGAGAAUGGAAAUCAGAAAGAAAUGAGAUUACCAAGAGAGAGGAAGGCUGAGGGGAACGGAGGGAGAAGUGUCUUUAUUUUGCAGUUUGGCUCUCUAACUUGUGGUUCACUUGCAGACUGCAAGAGGUUUUGUGAUUUAGGAGGGAAGAGGGAGGGAAAAGAAGGCCAUGGUUGUAGAUGGACUGUUGUUAAAGAAGAGCUAGUUGUUGUUGUUUAAGCCUUUGGUGCUGCA
Molecule: unclassified non-coding RNA, 1814 nt
Filed under: Hevea brasiliensis (rubber tree)
Lineage: Eukaryota; Viridiplantae; Streptophyta; Magnoliopsida; Malpighiales; Euphorbiaceae
Source: RNAcentral